This 497-nucleotide ribosomal RNA is filed under the name uncultured bacterium. RNAcentral describes it as "partial 16S ribosomal RNA". It matches the Rfam family "Bacterial small subunit ribosomal RNA", at positions 28 to 507 of the family's 1533-position model. The record is from RNAcentral.
GAUGAACGCUGGCGGCGUGCCUAAUACAUGCAAGUCGAGCGAACAGACCAGGCGUUUGCUCCUCUGACGUUAGCGGCCGACGGGUGAGUCCCACGUGGACAACCUACCUAUAAGACUGGGAUAACUUCGGGAGACCGGCGCUAAUAGCGGAUAAUAUAUUGAACCGCAUUGUGCAAUCGUGAAAGACGGUAUUUCGGUCACUUAUAGCUUGAUACGCGCCGCAUUAGUUAGUUGGUAAGGUAAUGGCUUACCGAGGCAACGAUGCGUAGCCGACCUGAGCGGGUGGUCGGCCAGACGGGAAGAGAGACACGGUCCAGACUCCGACGGGAAGCAGCAGUAGGGAAUCUUCCGCAAUGGGCGAGAGGCUGACGGAGCAACGCCGCGUGAGUGAUGAAGGAGCUCGGAUCGGAAAACGCUGUUAGUAGGGGAGAACAAAUGUGCAAUUAGCUAUGCAGGUCUUGACGGUACCUGAUGAAAAAGCCACGGCUAACUACGUG